Peromyscus californicus insignis is the source of this 2649-nucleotide long non-coding RNA. RefSeq lists it as uncharacterized. The transcript has 3 exons. Lineage: Eukaryota; Metazoa; Chordata; Mammalia; Rodentia; Cricetidae. The record is from RefSeq and is a predicted model, not a curated record.
GUACACCAAAGUUAUACAAAACCGGUGUGAUUUUUUUUUUCUUCCGUUCUGUUCGCGAGGAAACGGGUUUUAGGUGACUUGCUUUUUAAGUGUUUCAGUCUCAACGUUGGGACUGAGUCUCAUUGCUUUUCCCACUGUUAUACUUUUCGAAAAUCGUCAGAGCCUGAGCCAGAUGCUAACCAUAGUAAAAGCCUAGGAUCCGCUCCCAGGCUAAGUUGCGGUUCAGCUGGGACACAGUCGUACUCGUCACAAUUAGGAGUUAUGAAAUGUUGCUGCUCAGAGCUCUGGGGGGUAAGCCUGCAGGCAUGCAUUUCAUUUCUUUACUCUCUUGGAGAAGUGACUGAAUCAAACAUUGAGUCCUUCAGGAUCUGAGUACUGUGCUGAGAGGGUCACGGGAACUCAAGAGCAGCAGACAGAGCAAUAAUGAUGCCAGAUGGCACUAUUUGAAAGGCUCAACGUCCCUUCUGCCCGCGUCGGAUGGAAGAAUAGCAGAGGCCACAGGAGCAGCCACUUCUUUCCAGAAGGGGACCAGGGUAACUCUGGGAAACUCUCCAUGUGAACUGGCUGCUUUUGGAAGCCGCACAACCAAACCUAUUUAUCUUAGUGCAAACAAACGGGAUCGAUGUUUGAUGGCUUCGGUGUGCAGAAACAAGUAUUUGACCUUCCUGUCCCGUCUGGGCUUCCUAACCAGGCAUAACUGGAGCCCAGUGGUGGCUGGGUGGGUAGGUCCUGAGGUGGUCUAGGCCAUGCUGAGCGAACUGUUUACCCUGUCCCUAUUCUAACCUGGAUCACCAUUCAGCAGACUCACUGCCUCUCCUGGCACAGCCUCUGGCCUGGUGGGGUCAGGGAGGGGAUGAGAAGAGACAGAGCAUGAGGAAGAAUGCGACAAAGAAGCUGAGAACGAGACACUUCAUAAUAGGAGGGAAUUGUUCAUGCUCAGAGCGAUUUCAUCAAACCGAACAAUUCUCUCUAAAUAGCAAGCUCGAGGAUAUACAUACAAAUAGCUCUCCCAUAAAAUCAGCUCUAAGUGACUGCAGAAAAUUGUGCCUCUCAUAAAGUCUCAAUUUGUCUUAUUUAUGGGCAAAUUCCCAUCCCAUUAGAGGACCAUGAGUUAUAGGUGUUCACCACAUCGUGCUCCCAUACAAGUCUCAGUAAAGAUCUUUUCUGAAUUAAUCACAUCAUUCUUUGGAAGCACUCCAAGCGCACCUUUCACCUCUAAAAUAAUGAACUCAAAGCUGCUUCCAGAGAGGGAUCCUUUCAGCUGCUGAGCCAAAUGGUUCUCUUGGGGCAUAUGCAACAUUUUGUUCGUUCUUUAUAAGAAAUCUGAAGCAUACGUUCAUCUCAUGCCAGAGCUAUAAAGGGCUUAUCCCAGAGUCACGGGACUGUCCAGGGUCCUAUAAGGCCUCAACAGCUAAUUCUGGACACUGAGAAUCAACGUGUCCAAAAUAGAUUCACACUCAUUCCUUUUGUAGCUCCUUAAAUUCAUUUAAAAAUCACCCAGUUUUUGUCAAAGGGCCAAGGCAUCUGGCAGGAUCACGGGUCACUCCUAAAGACAGACAGGGUAGACCAACCUGUAACAGUGGACAAAUGCAUCAUAGGAAAUGGACCACUUCAGUAUGGCAAAUUUGGUACAGUUUUUAAAAGCAAGUUUUAGGUAUACACGAAAUAAAUGCCCCCAUCUCAAAUUAUAUGAGCUAUUACCUCUAAGAAGCAGUAGCAUGGGGUGAGAGGGGGAAUUUGGGACUUUCAUUUUUUUACUUAAAAUGUAUAUUUCUAGAGUAAUUUUAUAUCAAAUACACAGUAGUGAAUGAAUGUCCCCCCCAGAGUCACAGCUGAAUGGGCAGUCUUUUAAUAUGUGGUGCUGAGAAUAACUGUCAUCCAGAAAAAAUUACCCUUGACCUGUCUCACCCCCGGUGGAUGAAGCUGAACAUUGAAAGUAACAAUGCUUCUGGAUAGCAAGGAUAACACUGGGCUCGUGCCUGCACAAAUGCUUAUCUCGGUUAAGCUCCAAAUGGUUUUAAAAACUUUUCUUAUAUUUCACUCUCAGAACGAAAGGGUUGAAAAGUGGCCGAUACAUUAUGGGGUUAGGGAGGAACCUGGUGCUAGGGAAGUCCCCAGGAACCCACAAGGAUGUCCCCAGCUAAGACUCCUAGCAAUGGUGGAGAGGGUGCCUGAACUGUAGUCAGAUUGGGGACUACCCUAACUGUCAUCAUAGAACCUUCAUCCAGUGACUGAUGGAAGCAGAUGCAGAGACCCACAGCCAAGCACUGGGCCAAGCUCCUGGAGUUCAGUUGAAGAGAGGGAGGAGGGAUUAUAGGAACAAGGUGGGGGGUCAAGACCUUGAUGGGGAAACCCACAGAGACAGCUGACCGGAGCUAGUGGGAAGUCACGGACGGACUCAGGACUGACAGCUGGGGAGCCUGCAUGGGACCAAACUAGGCCCCCUGAAUGUGGGUGACAGUUGUGUGGGUUGAUCUGUUUGUGGGGCCCCUGGCAAUGGGACCAGGACCUAUCCUGGGUACAUGAACUGGCUUUUUAGAGCCCAUGCCCUGUGGUGGGAUGCCUUAUUCUGCUUUGAUGCGGGCGGGAGGGGCUUGGUCCGGCCCCAACUUGGUAUGCCAGCCUGUGUGGACUACCUAAGGGAGGCCU